CGAACUUCCGUUAAUUGAUUAUGACGUACUUGUACUGAUUGAGAUUUUAACACGAAGUGAGUGGCGAACGGGUGAGUAACACGUGGGUAACCUGCCCAGAAGUAGGGGAUAACACCUGGAAACAGAUGCUAAUACCGUAUAACAGAGAAAACCGCAUGGUUUUCUUUUAAAAGAUGGCUCUGCUAUCACUUCUGGAUGGACCCGCGGCGUAUUAGCUAGUUGGUGAGGUAAAGGCUCACCAAGGCAGUGAUACGUAGCCGACCUGAGAGGGUAAUCGGCCACAUUGGGACUGAGACACGGCCCAGACUCCUACGGGAGGCAGCAGUAGGGAAUCUUCCACAAUGGACGCAAGUCUGAUGGAGCAACGCCGCGUGAGUGAAGAAGGGUUUCGGCUCGUAAAGCUCUGUUGUUAAAGAAGAACGUGGGUAAGAGUAACUGUUUACCCAGUGACGGUAUUUAACCAGAAAGCCACGGCUAACUACGUGCCAGCAGCCGCGGUAAUACGUAGGUGGCAAGCGUUAUCCGGAUUUAUUGGGCGUAAAGCGAGCGCAGGCGGUCUUUUAAGUCUAAUGUGAAAGCCUUCGGCUCAACCGAAGAAGUGCAUUGGAAACUGGGAGACUUGAGUGCAGAAGAGGACAGUGGAACUCCAUGUGUAGCGGUGAAAUGCGUAGAUAUAUGGAAGAACACCAGUGGCGAAGGCGGCUGUCUGGUCUGCAACUGACGCUGAGGCUCGAAAGCAUGGGUAGCGAACAGGAUUAGAUACCCUGGUAGUCCAUGCCGUAAACGAUGAUUACUAAGUGUUGGAGGGUUUCCGCCCUUCAGUGCUGCAGCUAACGCAUUAAGUAAUCCGCCUGGGGAGUACGACCGCAAGGUUGAAACUCAAAAGAAUUGACGGGGGCCCGCACAAGCGGUGGAGCAUGUGGUUUAAUUCGAAGCUACGCGAAGAACCUUACCAGGUCUUGACAUCUUCUGACAGUCUAAGAGAUUAGAGGUUCCCUUCGGGGACAGAAUGACAGGUGGUGCAUGGUUGUCGUCAGCUCGUGUCGUGAGAUGUUGGGUUAAGUCCCGCAACGAGCGCAACCCUUAUUACUAGUUGCCAGCAUUAAGUUGGGCACUCUAGUGAGACUGCCGGUGACAAACCGGAGGAAGGUGGGGACGACGUCAAAUCAUCAUGCCCCUUAUGACCUGGGCUACACACGUGCUACAAUGGAUGGUACAACGAGUCGCGAGACCGCGAGGUUAAGCUAAUCUCUUAAAACCAUUCUCAGUUCGGACUGUAGGCUGCAACUCGCCUACACGAAGUCGGAAUCGCUAGUAAUCGCGGAUCAGCAUGCCUC
RNAcentral lists this ribosomal RNA (1337 nucleotides) under Pediococcus pentosaceus. Its description in RNAcentral is "bacterial SSU rRNA". It matches the Rfam family "Bacterial small subunit ribosomal RNA", at positions 47 to 1360 of the family's 1533-position model. Lineage: Bacteria; Bacillati; Bacillota; Bacilli; Lactobacillales; Lactobacillaceae. The record is from RNAcentral.